GGGAGUGUCGCCUAAUGGAUAAGGCAACCGUCUUCUAAACGGUUUUAUGUAGGUUCAAGUCCUGUCACUCCUGCCA
RNAcentral lists this transfer RNA (76 nucleotides) under Tolypothrix sp. PCC 7910. RNAcentral's name for it is "tRNA-Arg". It matches the Rfam family "tRNA". From Rfam's summary of the family: Transfer RNA (tRNA) molecules are approximately 80 nucleotides in length. Their secondary structure includes four short double-helical elements and three loops (D, anti-codon, and T loops). Further hydrogen bonds mediate the characteristic L-shaped molecular structure. tRNAs have two regions of fundamental functional importance: the anti-codon, which is responsible for specific mRNA codon recognition, and the 3' end, to which the tRNAs corresponding amino acid is attached (by aminoacyl-tRNA synthetases). tRNAs cope with the degeneracy of the genetic code in two manners: having more than one tRNA (with a specific anti-codon) for a particular amino acid; and 'wobble' base-pairing, i.e. permitting non-standard base-pairing at the 3rd anti-codon position. Lineage: Bacteria; Bacillati; Cyanobacteriota; Cyanophyceae; Nostocales; Tolypothrichaceae. The record is from RNAcentral.